CGAAGGGUGCAAGCGUUAAUCGGAAUUACUGGGCGUAAAGCGUGCGUAGGCGGUUUGUUAAGUCCGAUGUGAAAGCCCUGGGCUCAACCUGGGAAUGGCAUUGGAUACUGGCGAGCUAGAGUCAGGUAGAGGGUGGUGGAAUUCCCGGUGUAGCGGUGAAAUGCGUAGAGAUCGGGAGGAACAUCUGUGGCGAAGGCGGCCACCUGGACCAUGACUGACGCUGAGGCACGAAAGCGUGGGAGCAAACAGGAUU
This 253-nucleotide ribosomal RNA is filed under the name uncultured bacterium. RNAcentral's name for it is "partial 16S ribosomal RNA". It matches the Rfam family "Bacterial small subunit ribosomal RNA", at positions 526 to 779 of the family's 1533-position model. The record is from RNAcentral.